RNAcentral lists this transfer RNA (74 nucleotides) under Candidatus Dojkabacteria bacterium CG_4_10_14_0_2_um_filter_Dojkabacteria_WS6_41_15. Its description in RNAcentral is "tRNA-Val". It matches the Rfam family "tRNA". From Rfam's summary of the family: Transfer RNA (tRNA) molecules are approximately 80 nucleotides in length. Their secondary structure includes four short double-helical elements and three loops (D, anti-codon, and T loops). RNAcentral also lists the same sequence under 2 other names. The record is from RNAcentral.
GGGCAACUAGCUCAGCUGGUUAGAGCAUUCCGUUCACAUCGGAAAGGUCACAAGUUCGAAUCUUGUGUUGCCCA